UGAUAUUUGUCCCAACCAUCUGAUUUUCUGAAUUGCUGAAAAUUCAGCAGCAAUAUACUGAAUUUCGAGGCAGUGAUGGAAACGGACCUACAAAACUGUCGAACAACUCGGGUGAAUCACCUGCUUGGCACCAGUGUUCGGGACCAAAGUUGCCAAUGUCGAUGAAAAAGGUCCCAACAUAACAUGUUUUGCACAAUAAGUACAUUAAAUGAAGGGGUAAUAAGCACAAAAAUACUUUUAAACUUAACUUAGAUAAUUUACACUUCUUAAAAAUAAGUCCCAAGAAAAUAAUUAUUUUGUAUCAUACAAUGACAACCCUUGCUUUGUUUCUAUAAAAUUCGUACGGAAACUGGAACAGGAGCGUCGGAUUUGCAAAUAAUUUUUAAAAAGUCAACUAUGUUACUACAACCCAACCUGUUAUGCAACAAUGUUAACAUUUUUAAGUGGUUUAAAUUUGUUUGAUUUGUUGUAUCUUGUCCUUAAAUGUGUGUUAAUAUGAACUGACUCCGGUUUCUACUUGUUUUCUAGGAAUAAAAUAUGCAAAAAAUA
Molecule: long non-coding RNA, 549 nt
Organism: Drosophila elegans
Lineage: Eukaryota; Metazoa; Arthropoda; Insecta; Diptera; Drosophilidae
Exons: 2
Source: RefSeq, a predicted model, not a curated record